UAAGGAAUAUUGGGCAAUGGACGCAAGUCUGACCCAGCCAUGCCGCGUGAAGGAUGACGGCCCUAUGGGUUGUAAACUUCUUUUGUACGGGAAAAAACCUUCGAACGUGUUCGAAGCUGAUGGUACCGUAAGAAUAAGCAUCGGCUAACUCCGUGCCAGCAGCCGCGGUAAUACGGAUGAUGCAAGCGUUAUCCGGAUUCAUUGGGUUUAAAGGGUGCGCAGGCGGAUUAAUAAGUCAGUGGUGAAAUCCUACGGCUCAACUGUAGAACUGCCAUUGAUACUGUUAGUCUUGAGUAUUGUUGAGGUAGGCGGAAUGUGUCAUGUAGCGGUGAAAUGCUUAGAUAUGACACAGAACACCAAUCGCGAAGGCAGCUUACCAAGCAAUAACUGACGCUCAUGCACGAAAGCGUGGGGAUCAAACA
RNAcentral lists this ribosomal RNA (422 nucleotides) under uncultured prokaryote. Its description in RNAcentral is "bacterial SSU rRNA". It matches the Rfam family "Bacterial small subunit ribosomal RNA", at positions 355 to 774 of the family's 1533-position model. The record is from RNAcentral.